Molecule: ribosomal RNA, 467 nt
Filed under: uncultured bacterium
Lineage: Bacteria
Description: bacterial SSU rRNA
Rfam family: Bacterial small subunit ribosomal RNA
Source: RNAcentral
GCCUACGGGACGCAGCAGUCGAGAAUUUUUCACAAUGGGGGAAACCCUGAUGGAGCGACGCCGCGUGGGGGAUGAAUGGCUACGGCCCGUAAACCCCUGUCAUUCGCGAACAAAUUGGUUCAAUUAAUAACUGAACCAUUGAUAGUAGCGGAAGAGGAAGGGACGGCUAACUCUGUGCCAGCAGCCGCGGUAAUACAGAGGUCCCGAGCGUUGUUCGAAUUCACUGGGCGUAAAGGGUGCGUAGGCGGUCGGGUAAGUCUGAUGUGAAAUUUCACAGCUUAACUGUGAAACUGCAUUGGAUACUAUUCGGCUUGAGAGUUGGAGGGGGGACUGGAAUUCUUGGUGUAGCAGUGAAAUGCGUAGAUAUCAAGAGGAACACCAGUGGCGAAGGCGAGUCCCUGGACAACUUCUGACGCUGAGGCACGAAAGCUAGGGGAGCAAACAGGAUUAGAUACCCGGGUAGUCCC